UGUUAGAAUUCACAAGUGUGUUCUUAAAUUCAUUGCUUUGCUCAAAAGAAGAGCAAACUCAGUUUCUUUUAACUUUGGUGAUGCAUCCUCCUUUCAUUUGGAAGCUACUAGGCAUAUCAUAAGGAAUGAUCAGAGAAUCUGGUAUGGUGAAGUUUUCCAGUAUUUAGAAAGCAGAAAUAAGAGAGUAAAGGAUAUUCCUAAUAUUAUUGCUCAACUUAACGUAUACAUGGAUGACCAUGGAAUCCUGAGAAUUAGAAGUAAAAUGCCUAAAUGGAGAAAAGAUACUUUUGUCAACUUUCCUAUUUUACUUCACAAACACAGUAAGUUAACUCGGUUAGUAAUAAAAGAUUUUCAUGAGAAUUUCUCACAUGCUGGUGUUUAUUCUCUUUUGUCAGAGAUGAGAAAAAAGUUUUGGAUUCCACAUUACUUUUCAGUAGUAAAAAAGGUCCUUAAAGAAUGUGUCAUUUGUAAGAGAUUCAAAGAGAGAACGGUUAAGGUCAAUCAAAGUGCCUAUCGCGAUUUUAGGAUUGACCCUCCCUCUAUACCAUUGUUAUAUUUUUAUUGAUCAUUUUGGACCGUAUAACGUUAAGCUUAAUGGUAAAAAGAGCAAAGUUUGGAUUCUAUGUUUGACUUGUCUCUGGUCUAGGGCAAUUAAUUUAAAAAUUUGUUUAGAUCUCACUACAAAAGAAUUUUUAAGAGCUUUUCAACUGCAUGCAUAUCAGUAUGGAAUCCCUCAACUAGUAUUGUCAGAUCUUGGAUCUCAGUUGAUAGCUGGAGCUAAUGUGGUCACUAAUUUCCUGGGUGAUCCUGAGAGUCAGGCAUAUUUUGAAGAGAAUGGUGUAAAGUCAAUUAAGUUUCAGCAGUAUCCAAAGGGAUGUAAUAAAUUAGGAGGACUUGUUGAGACUUGUGUUAAAAUGAGUAAGCGUUUAAUCCAUGGAGCAUUAAGAAAUAAUGUGUUAGACUUCCGUGAUUUUGAGUUUUUUGUAGAGCAAACCGUACACUUGGUUAACAGGCGCCCUAUUGCCUUCAAAGAAGGGUUGAGAGACAGUAUCACAGAGGAAGUGCCUGAUGCAAUUACACCAGAAAUAUUAAUUCAUGGACAUGAAUUGCUGUCUAUUAACAUUAUUCCUGACUUGCAGGGCAAUCCAGAUGAAGAUCUGAACUGGACAGCAGAUGAUCAUGUUAGCAAAGUUUUAGACAAGUAUCAAAAACUUAGAAAUGUGAGGUCUCGACUUAUUAACAUUUAUAAUUCAGAAUUUAUAGCACACUUAGUGUCACAAGCUACAGACGAAAGGAGUAGAUAUAAACCAGUGACACACAAAAGAAUUCAAGUAGGUGAUAUUGUUCUGUUAAAAGAACCGCACAUGAAACCUUCAAAUUACCCAAUGGGUAUUGUUAAAAAAGUAAAAUUAAAUGACUUGGAUGAAGUAACUGACAUAGCUGUGUUUAAGGGAGCUUCUCGUGAAACUGUAAGACGGCAUGUUACUUCAGUAAUACCUCUCUUAAGCCCUGUGACUAAUGACACUGAAGAAAAGGAAGAUAUUAAAGAGGACAGUAGUACACAUCAAAGAAAAAAGAGAAAGGCUGCUGUCAUUAGUGAGGCACGAACUAGAGAUAUGUUGAGAAAUUAGUAUGCAGUAUAUGUUUAGGUGUUGGUAAUUUUGAUUUUUUCCCGUUAGAAUGUUACUCAAUUUUGUAACAUUACCUUUACCAUUCGAAUUUUGACUAAAUUCGAAUCCCCCCUUUGGAGUGUUGAAGAAUUAUUUUAUAUUCUAAUUCUGUAGAAAAUUUAUAAAAUUGUGUAUAUAUAUAUAUAUAUAUCUAAGUUCAUAUUUGUUUUAUCCUUGAAACCCCCUUUUGCCAUACAAAGCAAAAUCAAAAAGAAAUACUGGGAGUUUCAAGGAUAAUAUGCUCAGUCCAUAGAUGGCUCUGCUGGCUGUAUUUUAAUAUUUGCAGUUCCUGAUUCCAUCAUCCUUGGGAAAAAAUUUUCACCUACUGGUAAUGAGAGAAGAGUGAGGAAGCAGAUCAGCCAUAUUGGAUUGUGUUUUCUUCUAGUGAAGAAGUGCUAUGAAGAUGGAGUAGCACUUUAUUUUAAGGCCACCUCUCCUGCAAUUGCUUACCACGAGUGCUACCAUGAAGAGUGCAAUAUCAAGAUUUCAGAAUACAUACUUCUCAACAAUGGGAUAUUCUGCUGCACUUCGAUUUGCUUUGGAAUUUUAAGGAUAUGGCCUACCAACCCAGCUAGGUUACUUGUGCUUGCUGGAAGGUAGCCUAGUAUCAUCGGCUUCAGUCAUCUUCCUGGUCUUGGCAAAUUUAUUUAGAAUCCAUAGUUUUCAAAAACAGGCAAGAGUUGAGUGGGUUCUACCACAGGCAGUCACUAGUGAUUGAGGAUUCCACUUCAGCCAUCAGAGUUCCAUUGCUUUGCCAUA
Molecule: long non-coding RNA, 2429 nt
Organism: Macrobrachium nipponense
Lineage: Eukaryota; Metazoa; Arthropoda; Malacostraca; Decapoda; Palaemonidae
Exons: 3
Source: RefSeq, a predicted model, not a curated record